Molecule: ribosomal RNA, 770 nt
Filed under: uncultured bacterium
Lineage: Bacteria
Description: bacterial SSU rRNA
Rfam family: Bacterial small subunit ribosomal RNA
Source: RNAcentral
AGAGUUUGAUCAUGGCUCAGAGCGAACGCUGGCGGCAUGCCUAACACAUGCAAGUCGCACGGUUCGGGGGUUUCGGCCUCCGGGCAGUGGCGGACGGGUGAGGAACGCGUAGGGAUCUAUCCACGGGUGGGGGACAACCGCGGGAAACUGCGGCUAAUACCGCAUGACGAGCCGGGUCGAGGGACCCGGUUCCAAAGCUCGCAAGAGCGCCUGUGGCGGAGCCUGCGUCCGAUUAGCUUGUUGGUGGGGUAACGGCCUACCAAGGCAACGAUCGGUAGCUGGUCUGAGAGGAUGAUCAGCCACACUGGGACUGAGACACGGCCCAGACUCCUACGGGAGGCAGCAGUGGGGAAUAUUGGACAAUGGGCGCAAGCCUGAUCCAGCAAUGCCGCGUGGGUGAAGAAGGUCUUCGGAUUGUAAAGCCCUUUCGGCGGGGACGAUGAUGACGGUACCCGCAGAAGAAGCCCCGGCUAACUUCGUGCCAGCAGCCGCGGUAAUACGAAGGGGGCUAGCGUUGCUCGGAAUGACUGGGCGUAAAGGGCGCGUAGGCGGCUUAUAUAGUCAGGCGUGAAAUUCCUGGGCUCAACCUGGGGGCUGCGCUUGAUACGUAUGGGCUUGAGUGGGGAAGAGGGUCGUGGAAUUCCCAGUGUAGAGGUGAAAUUCGUAGAUAUUGGGAAGAACACCGGUGGCGAAGGCGGCGACCUGGUCCUUGACUGACGCUGAGGCGCGAAAGCGUGGGGAGCAAACAGGAUUAGAUACCCCGGUAGUCC